This 73-nucleotide small nucleolar RNA is filed under the name Dichanthelium oligosanthes. RNAcentral's name for it is "Small nucleolar RNA R66". It matches the Rfam family "Small nucleolar RNA R66". From Rfam's summary of the family: snoR66 is a C/D box small nucleolar RNA, which acts as a methylation guide for 18S ribosomal RNA in plants. snoR66 has been alternatively named snoZ269 in rice. The record is from Rfam by way of RNAcentral. Lineage: Eukaryota; Viridiplantae; Streptophyta; Magnoliopsida; Poales; Poaceae.
UCCUAUGAUGGCAUGAAAUCUUUGAGACAUGAUCAUUCUUUUGAUGACAACCAUAAGCAUACAUAAUGUGGAC